This is a transfer RNA of Thecamonas trahens ATCC 50062, 81 nucleotides long. It matches the Rfam family "tRNA". Rfam says of the family: Transfer RNA (tRNA) molecules are approximately 80 nucleotides in length. Their secondary structure includes four short double-helical elements and three loops (D, anti-codon, and T loops). The record is from Rfam. Lineage: Eukaryota; Apusomonadida; Apusomonadidae.
GAAGGCUUUGCCGAGCGGUCAAAGGCGACAGACUCAAGUCCUGUUUCGAAAGAUUCGCGGGUUCGAAUCCCGUAGCCUUCA